CCUUUCUCGAACUCGAAAGAGAACCAUCUCUGAAAUCCGAACACGCUCCAGAAUGUUCCCUUCUACCUCUGCCACGGCCUCCCGCCUCCUCGUCCCCGCCGCCUCUCGCCGCGCCAUGGCCGCUGCCGCCUCCGCCAACCCGCCGCCCCCGCAGCAAUCGGCCCCCAAGGCGGUGCGGGUCGUGGUGAAGGGCCGCGUGCAGGGCGUCUUCUUCCGCGACUGGACGGUGGAGACGGCCCGCGCGCUCGGGCUGGCCGGCUGGGUCCGCAACCGCCGCGAUGGCACCGUGGAGGCCCUCCUCUCAGGAGACUCCGCCAGGGUAGACGAGAUGGUCUCCCGGCGCCUUCCCGUCGGGCCUCCCGCCGCCACCGUCACGGCGGUGCUGCCUUCCCCCGCCGAUCCGCUCGACCCCUCCGAGGGCUUCCACCGCAAGCCCACCGCCUGACGACGGCUGGUUCUUCUUAUCAUUGAUAUGCGUUUCACAACCUAUUUUGAAAGAGGCGCGGAAAAAAGUGAGGAUGCAAGGUUACUGGAGACCAAGACUUCGUAUAUAUGAUAUUCAUAAUAAGGUGGAGGUGGAUCCACUAAAUCAUUGGGUAGUAUAUUAAUCUUGAGGACAUGUGGCUGUAUAUUUCAUUUUAUUUUUGCAAUCUACCUUCUAUUCCUAGUAUGAAGUAUCAAUUAACAGUUAUUUUGUUCCAGUAAAUAUUGCUCCAGUAGAUACUCUCUACCAAAUACCAAUUGAAGCAAUAUGUGUUUGUUUAUUUUA
Molecule: RNA transcript, 769 nt
Organism: Hordeum vulgare subsp. vulgare (domesticated barley)
Lineage: Eukaryota; Viridiplantae; Streptophyta; Magnoliopsida; Poales; Poaceae
Gene name: acylphosphatase-like
Exons: 3
Source: RefSeq, a predicted model, not a curated record